AUGCACACAGUUGCCUCUGACAACAUUAAACUUAAAGCAAGCAAUGUCUCUGUGGCCUCUAAUAAGGAGCUCACUGUCCCUCACCACAUGGACAAAUGCUUCCAGGCUCUCUCACCUCUUCAGCGAGAGGCAACACACAUCGGAACAGAGUACUCCUCAGCAAAGGAAGUGGGACUCUGUCAGCUCCUCCCUGACCUGGCGGCCGUCAACCUAACACCACUCCCUCUGCAGGUGCCUCUGCACCACACACCUGCUCCUUCCCUGGGAUCAGCUAGAACACUUCCCAGGGCAGCGCUGGUGCAGGUGACACCACACUGGGCGCCUUUUCCUCAUGAACUCUCUCCAUCCUCAUCAACUCUUUCUGUCACUGCUCCUCAAAUGCUCGCCCUUGCUCCAUGUGUCCUGUUCUCUGGGGCAUCCCAGGCCAAGCCUAGCGCUGACACAGAACAGCAGUUGCCUAAGGGCCCACAGACUCCCUGGGAAUCAGUCCGGCACCCUGUGACCUGUCUGUCCGCCUCUCCACCCCGGGGGCGAAGAGCGUGCAGCACAGGCCAUGGGGCUCUCUCAGCCCCCUCCUGCACACUGCACAUCACCUGGAAGGAUCUCCUGCUCACAGCAUCACUUUUUAAUUUUCGAACUCGCCAACCACUGCCCAAGUCAGGAUUGAAGCUCAGCCAACCAAAGUUUCUGAGGAAGUAUUAUUCUUCACUUGUCCACAAUUUGCCCCAGAAUGUUGCUGGCUACAUCUGGUACAAAGGGCAAAUAAUGGACUCCAGCAUUACAUUAAGGGUGCAUAUACAAUAGACACUGAAACAAUUAUAUUUGGGCCUGCAUACAGUGGAUGAGAAACAGUAUAUUCCAAUGCAUCCCUGCUGAUCCAGGAGGUCAACCAGAAGGAUGCAGGAUCCUACACUGUAGAAAUCAUCAUAAAGCGAGGUGAUGGGACUGAAGGAGUAACUGGACAUUUCACCUUAUACCUGGAGACUCCCAAGCCCUACAUCUCCAGCAGCAACUUAAACCCCAGGAAGGGCACGGAGACUGUGAUCUUAUCCUGUGAUCCUGACACUCAGGACGUAAGCUACCAGUGGUGGAUAAAUGGUCAGAGUCUCCCUAUCAGUCGCAAGUUGCAGCUGUCUGAAAACAACAGGACCCUCGUUCUAUCUGGUGUCAGAAAGAAUACUGCAGGACCCUAUGAAUGUGAAAUGAAGAACCCAGUGAGUUCCAGCCGCAGUGACCCAGUCACCCUGAAUCUCCUCUAUGGUCCAAAAGUCCCCAGGAUUUUCUCUCCAUUGACCAAUUACCGUUCAGGAAAAACCCUCCAGUUGUCCUGCUUCGCGGACUCUAACCCACCGGCAGAGUAUUCUUGGACGAUUGAUGGGAAUUUUCUGCAAUCAGGACAAAAGCUCUCUAUCCCCCAAGUUACUACAGAGCAUAGCGGGCUCUAUGGUUGCUCUGCUCGUAACUCAGCCACUGGCAGGGAACGUUCCACAUUCAAGAGGAUCAAAGUCUUUCCUCGUUCAGGAACAGGACGUCCAUCCUGGCCUUAAUCCGAUAUAGCAGCCGUGAUGUCAUUUCUGUAUUUUGGGAAAACUGGCAGACAGUUGCUUUGAUUCUUCCUUGAAGUAUUUAUAAUCAG
This is a non-coding RNA of Chlorocebus sabaeus (green monkey), 1636 nucleotides long. NCBI's taxonomy places the organism in Eukaryota, Metazoa, Chordata, Mammalia, Primates, Cercopithecidae. The record is from RefSeq and is a predicted model, not a curated record.